This 96-nucleotide ribosomal RNA is filed under the name Kribbella caucasensis. Its description in RNAcentral is "Kribbella sp. VKM Ac-2527 partial 16S ribosomal RNA". It matches the Rfam family "Bacterial small subunit ribosomal RNA", at positions 1 to 97 of the family's 1533-position model. The record is from RNAcentral. Lineage: Bacteria; Bacillati; Actinomycetota; Actinomycetes; Propionibacteriales; Kribbellaceae.
UUUCAACGGAGAGUUUGAUCCUGGCUCAGGACGAACGCUGGCGGCGUGCUUAACACAUGCAAGUCGAGCGGUAAGGCCCUUCGGGGUACACGAGCG